This is a long non-coding RNA of Bos taurus (domestic cattle), 813 nucleotides long. NCBI's taxonomy places the organism in Eukaryota, Metazoa, Chordata, Mammalia, Artiodactyla, Bovidae. The record is from Ensembl.
AAGAGUUCAGAUGCUAGGAUGGGAGAGGGAUUCUGGGAAGCUGGCCAAAAGCUGACCCCGCAGAUGGGAUUCCUUCCUGAGAAGCAGUGCAGUGUGUCAGUGAGAAAAGAGACAGUGCCUGGAGUCUGGGUCCCAUGGGCAAUUCUGGCUGCAUGGGAGACGAGGAGGGGAGCAGUGAGGUCUGGCUGCUGUGGGUCCUACGGGAAGACAGCAGAGCCUGGGAAGAUGCGGAGUGUCUGCAUGGGCAGGGCCCUGGCCACAGAGACUGGGACUUGGGACCUGGUUACCAACUCCAGAGGCCUGAGUCACAGGGGACGUGACACUUAGCCCAUUGCUGCUGGGAGUUCAGCCAUCUCCCUUUCAGGGUCGCUUGGCGCAGAUUCCAUGUUGCACACUGUGUCUAUGUUAGGCGUGCUUUCCCCAGAAGACACAUGUAAAUGCACAGACUUGAAUGGUUAACAAUGCCCUCUGGAGUUGUGCAAAGGGACAUCCGUACUACCACCAACACAGGAAUAUAAACUUCAAAAGUAGAAGAGAGUGACUGCUCGGUGAGCUCAGGGUCUCCUUUGGGAUGAUCAAGAUAUUGUAGAAUGGACGGAGGUGGUGAGGGCACAGCAUGUGCACACAUUAAAUGCCAGUGACUUGUGCACUUUAAAAAGUUUCAUUUUAUAUUUGAAUUUCAUCUCAAUAAAAAAAAAUUUUUUUUAAGUUUUUUUAAGGCACUCGAAAGGAAAGUACAAAUUGCUUUAAAAGAUUUCCCACAAGUCAGCCCUCUCUGACAAUGUGUGCGUUUCCCACAAUGCACCUCUCUCC